Molecule: ribosomal RNA, 421 nt
Filed under: uncultured bacterium
Lineage: Bacteria
Description: bacterial SSU rRNA
Rfam family: Bacterial small subunit ribosomal RNA
Source: RNAcentral
UGAACGCUAGUGGCAGGCUUUACACAUGCAAGUUGAACGGGCCUUUAAAAAGGCCCGUGGCGGACGGGUGCGUAAUACAUAGGUAAUUUGCCCUAAAAUUCAGGAUAAGUGCUUUAGCAUUAAUACUGGAUAAUACAUAAAGAUUAAAUCGUUUUAGGAUAAGCUUAUGCAAGAUUAGGUAUUUGGUUAGGGUAAUAUCUAACUUAGCCGAAGAUCUUUAGCUGAUUUGAGAGGAUGAUCGGCCACACCGGGACUGAGACACGGCCCGGACUCCGCAAGGGGGCAGCAGUGCGGAAUCUUGGACAAUGGGCGAAAGCCUGAUCCAGCCAUGCCACGUGAGUGAAGACGGCCCAUAGGUUGUAAAGCUCUUUCGUUAAGGAGGAUAAUGACAGUACUUAAAAAAGAAGCCCCGGCUAACUCC